ACGCGAAAAACCUUACCUACCCUUGACAUGGUCGGAACCUUGGAGAGAUCUGAGGGUGCUUGAAAGAGAACCGAUACACAGGUGUUGCAUGGCUGUAGUCAGCUCGUGUCGUGAGAUGUUGGGUUAAGUCCCGCAACGAGCGCAACCCUUGUCCUUAGUUGUUACGCAAGAGCACUCUAGGGAGACUGCCGGUGACAAACCGGAGGAAGGUGGGGAUGACGUCAAGUCCUCAUGGCCCUUAUGGGUAGGGCUUCACACGUCAUACAAUGGUCGGAACAGAGGGUCGCCAACCCGCGAGGGGGAGCUAAUCCCAGAAAACCGAUCGUAGUCCGGAUUGCACUCUGCAACUCGAGUGCAUGAAGCUGGAAUCGUUAGUAAUCGCGGAUCAGCAUGCCGCGGUGAAUACGUUCCCGGGUCUUGUACACACCGCCCGUCACACCAUGGGAGUGGGUUUUACCAG
Molecule: ribosomal RNA, 460 nt
Filed under: Burkholderia gladioli
Lineage: Bacteria; Pseudomonadati; Pseudomonadota; Betaproteobacteria; Burkholderiales; Burkholderiaceae
Description: bacterial SSU rRNA
Rfam family: Bacterial small subunit ribosomal RNA
Source: RNAcentral